Molecule: long non-coding RNA, 11495 nt
Filed under: Capsicum annuum
Lineage: Eukaryota; Viridiplantae; Streptophyta; Magnoliopsida; Solanales; Solanaceae
Description: long non-coding RNA (CANN_LNC016805)
Source: RNAcentral
CGGAACCCACGGAGGGAGGAUUCCCAAUUCCCAUUCAAUUUAGAGGGACCCAUAGAAGGAAAAGGGCUGGGAUUUUCUGGAAUUCAAUAUAUACAAAUACUGCCAAUUGAUAGAGGGGGGAUUCCAGAAAAGAUCAUCUUCUCGACCAAACAUAGACCAGACGCCAUUUUUUUUCUUUCCCCUGGAGGCUCUUGAUCUUACCAUCAUCUUCAUCAAGCAAAGGGGAGGAUACACCCAUUGUUUUGAGCAAAAACAAGAGGGGAUGCCAUUUUUUGGCCCUUCCUUUCUUCUAGUUCGCGACACACAUAUACCCACACACCCAAAAUCACAUAGCCGCAUAGAAACAGAGAGGUAGAGAGACGGAAAGGAUGAGAGAGACACCGAAAGAGAAGAAGUCGACUGUAUAUCGAGUUUUUCGACCACUCUUCACCAAAAAACACUUCCCUAGCUCCGAUUUAACUUUGAAAUCCAUCAAUAACUCGAUCUAAACUAUCUCCAUUGCUGAAAACCAAGGUCGAGUAGUUUAAACCAAUCUGAAAUCGUCCUGUUUUGGGUUGAUUCCGACCAUUUUGAGUUCGAUUUCGUCAUGUGCAAUGUCAAUUUUGGUCUGUUCGGUUUAAUUCUGGUAAGUUCGGUUUAGUUUCAGCUCGUCGGGGGUUUGUGUUGAAUACUCUCAAGUCGUUUUCAUGGAUUUUGGUAUUUGAAUCGGAAUGCAAAUUCGGGUUUUGUAUUGAAUUGGUUCGUCGUUGAGGUUCUCUAUUCGGGAUUCCAAGUCCGGGUUCUCUUAAACAUUAUUAUUAUCAACAAAUCUGUUCUUCGAAGGUCCAUCUCUUAACUCUACUCUUUUAUCUCGAAAUUGGUUAAUGUCAUAAUUUUAUGGUGUGGCUUUGAAUAUUUUGAGCAAAAUAUUAAUUGUUGGUGUGGAUGACUUGUAUGCCUAAGUUCGAAUCCUCGUUGGGUAUAUGUGGUUGAUGUUGGAUUAGAUAGUCGAAGAAUUAGUGAAUUAGUUUUGACAAAGAAAUUGGGGAAGACGGGAAUGCAAAGUUGAUAAAAAUGAAUAUUAUUGUGUUUUGAUUCAUCAAUUAUUGUUAAAUUUGAAAUGGUUAUUAAUGUCAUUGAACUCAAUAGUAUCAUGUGUUAAGUCGAGAAUUGGUAGGGAAAUCUUAGGUUUGGGUAGGCAAAUUUAGGAAUGGUGAAUCAUGGAAUGUUUGGAAUAUGUGCUGAAUGGUUUUCGUUAUCGCAUUUGGGUUUAAUUGUAUUAUUUGGCUGGGGAAUACCCCGAAGUAUUUGUAUUAUUUUAUCCGGGGAAUGCCCCGAAGUAUUUUGUAUUUGAAAAAUGUUCAUGGUGAAGGCCCGAGGCAUCGGGUAAAGCACGGUAGCGUAGUUCGAAUUAGAUUAGCGUAGGUUUAUAUUUUUGCAUUUUUUAUACUUCGGACUGUAUAAUUGGACUAGACAUUACAUUUUGAAUUGUUUUGUUUUGUUUUUUGUUUGAUUGUUUUGCGUGCUUUUGUGUGGUUUAUACAUUUCAUAGUGUCAAAAUAGUCGAUACACUCUACCAAGCGACCGUGGUUGAACCACGGGAUCGAGGGGUGCCUAACACCUUUCCCUCGAUCAACAGAAUUCCUUAGCCGGAAUCUCUGUUCGCAAAUCAGUUUAAGGAGUUAAAUCGUUUUGAAAAGGAUUUUCCUAAGGUGACUUGGAACACCUUAUUACGCCAAGUGGCGACUCUGAGUUUUGAAUAUAAAUAAUCCAUUUUUUUUCGAAACAAAUUUUCUAUCUUUUGUCACUUUGAUAAUUAAAAACCCUUUCAAACUUAAAACGAAUCUUUUGGAGUACGAAAAAAAGGGGUGUGACAGCUGUGGCGACUCUGCUGGGGAUUUUUCAGAAUUCGAGCUUAUUUUGGAGUCGUAUCGGCUUUGUUUGACACUAUAGGUGUAUAAACAUUUUGUUUGUGUUGUUUUGUAUAUUGUUUUAUGAUUGUGGAAUAUUUUCGUGCUCUUUGUACAGUAUUUAUCCUAUGUGUUACCGCUUUUAUAUCUGGCAUCAUGUGUCUACCCCAGGCCUUCUUUCUGCAAUAAUUCCGUAGUACACGUGUUGUACACGAUCUCUAGUUGAGUCCCCCUUAUUUUAGGGGGGGAGCCGUCGGUGUUAUGGAGUAGGUGGAAAGCAAAGCAGCCACUAUCGACCAUACGUUCCCCCGACAGCCUUGUUAGUGAACCAUAACGUAGGUCAGCCUUUAGGUCAUGCUUAUGUGCAUCAUAUUAAAGACCUAGCAGGGCCCUCUUGGCCCUUUGUAGGAGACUCACCUUUAAGGCAUCCUUACGUGCUAAAUGUUGCAUCUUUGAGGGUAACGAGAUUAUUUGACUGACUGGUUUGAGCAACAACAUGAGUUAGAAGCAAAGUGUGUAGGCAAGAAAUUGUUGAAAAAAAAAAGAAGAAAAAAAGAGUAAAAAAAAAAAGAUUUGGUAGUUUUUAGGGUUCUUUAUGGCUUUUGUUUUUUACAAUUUAAAAAUUAAAAAAAAAAUUACUUUUUGCACUCAUUUCUCAAAAAAUCAAAAACGUUAAAAAAUUUUCCUUUCGUUUUCUUUAGUAAGCAUUCAUAAUUCGAAAACUCCAAAAAUAUUUUUUCCUUUCAAUAGGAGCUUUGUACAUUCUUAUAUAGUGAAAAUGCCAAAAAGAUUUUCCUUCGUAAUUGUUGGUGUCAGUUUUAGUUGAAGUGUCUAAUUAAAAAUCCAAAAAAGAUUUUAUUUGUGUGUCUUUGGUUGUGUCUCUUAAGUUAGGGUCAAUCUAUUAGUUAAUCAUUAAUUGUCCAAUCUGGACGAACUAUGCACCCCUGAUUCUCCUCUUUCGGGAGUGAGAUACGUAGGCAGCCUAUUGUUGGUUCAGGGAUCUUAUUUAAAAAAUCAAAAAAUAUUUCUUCACUCUCCAUUUAGAGUAGGCGUUUCAUAUACGUCUUUAAAAGAAAACUACAAAAAGAUUUUCAUUUAAUAGGUUCAAGUUUCAUUUUCACAUGAAAUUCAAAAAUCGAAAACCCAAAAAUAUUUUUCUUUGGUAAUCACAGGUUUCAUUUUGUAUAGAGAUUUAAACCUAAAAAAAAAUGCAAAAAGAUUUUCGUCAAUUCUUUUGACACUUUGUUUCAAGAAAGAAAAAAGAGUUUAAUUGGCCAAUUUGACAAAACUUCACAAACUACGCACACCUGAUUCUCCCUUUUCGGGGGUGAGAUAUGUAGGCGCCUUUCUAAGGUUCGGUGAAUUUUUUUUCAAGAAAAAAAAAAAGAGGUUUUGAAAAAUCACUGAACUCUAACGCAUUUGCUAUCUCUUGUCCAGUUAGUUUAAGGUGGUUGGUUUGUGGCAUUUUGGCUGGUCCUCCAUAUUGCUCCAAGUCACAGAGGAAGUUAUGGCCAACAAGGAUACCGAGUUAGUGGUCACUAAUCAGAUAGGGAGUUCGGGGAAUGAGAAUGUAUGAGAUAAUGAAGAGAUUCGAAAAUUAAGGUGGCAAAUAACAGAAAUGCAUCGAGCUUGGGCUAAUGGGUUGCCGCCUUCUUCAGUUCUCACUGAUAAUCUGGAAUAUCUUUCUAGCUUGCCUCCCGUGUCACAUGCACAAUUUCCCAUUUUUGUUGAUAUGCCACAACAUGCAUUAGGAUCGACUCCAGGGCAACAAUAUCCAACCACUUCCAAUGUUCAUUUCCUCACUCCCCAAUCCAAGACUACCACAUACUCGGCUCCAGCUGUUGUUCAUGCUUUUAUGGCGCCACCCCCACCUGAAGCUCCUACUUUUGAUGUUCAUCCACAAGUUNNNNNNNNNNNNNNNNNNNNNNNNNNNNNNNNNNNNNNNNNNNNNNNNNNNNNNNNNNNNNNNNNNNNNNNNNNNNNNNNNNNNNNNNNNNNNNNNNNNNNNNNNNNNNNNNNNNNNNNNNNNNNNNNNNNNNNNNNNNNCCGCCUGAAUUUCCUCCUAACACUGAGAAACCUGUUAUGACAGAAGAACAAGAGAAAAUAGCCAGAAAAUUGAGAAGUUUGAAACUGACUAUGAAAAACUUGCAAGGACUUGGGGGGUACAAAAGUGUCUCAUAGAAAGAUCUGUGCAUGUUUCUUGGUAUAUAUCUUCCUCUUGGUUUUAAAAUGCCGAAGUUUAAGAAAUAUGAUGGACAUGGUGAUCCUAUAGCACAUUUAAGACUUUAUUGUAACCAGCUAAGAGGUGCUAGAGGGAAGGAAGAAUUACUCAUGGCAUAUUUCGGUGAGAGUCUUUCAGGUCUAGCUUCAGAAUGGUUUGUUGACCAAGACAUUGACAAAUGGAUUAGUUGGGAUGACCUAGCUAACGAAUUUGUGCAACAAUUUCAAAACAAUGAGGAGUUGAUCCCUGACGAAAAAUCCCUAACUAGUAUAAUAAAGAAGAAUACUGAGAGUUUCAGGGAGUAUGCGAUCAGAUAGCACGAACAAGAUGCUAGAGUAAAAUCGACAAUGAAAGAAAGCAAAAUAGUGGAGGUGUUUAUUCAAGCGCAGGAUGAAACAUAUUAUCAACACUUGUUACCUGCAUUAGGUAAGUCGUUCAUUGAGGUCCUCAAAAUGGGGGAGAUCAUAGAGGAUGGAAUUAAGACCGGUCGCAUUGUGAGUUUUGCAACAUUGAAAGAGACUACUCAAGUAAUUCAAAAAGGUUCGGGAAGUGUUGGAGGAAAGAAGAAUGAGGAAGAUGUAUCUGCCAUUAUAGUUGGACAACAGGCACGGGUGAGAGGACCAUAUCAUCAUUAUCCAUGGGCUCAAACCCAAGUUUAUGGCCAAGUUCUACAGAAUCUUUCCCAAAAUCCAUUAUAUUUCAUUCCUCCAUCUCCAUAUCAAGUGUAUAAUGCGCAACCAUAUGUUCAACCCCCAUCUUACCCACACUGGCGCUCGCCAACUCUGUCGAGUUAUCCUUCAUCUCCACAUACAUACCGAAGCCCUUCUAGGUCUGGUUUUCAAUUUAAGCCAAAUAAUGAAAUGAGACAGAAGUUGAGGGAUAACUUCACACCGAUUGGAGAGUCGUAUGCAAGUUUAUUCCAGAGAUUGGUAUAGCAUGACAUGAUCACUCCUCUCCUUGGGUAUACUCCUGACCCACAUUCAAGAAAUUUUGAUCCUAAUGUACAAUGCGCAUAUCAUUCUGAUGUUCAGGGUCACAAUAUUGAAGAUUGUCGUGCUUUGAAAAGAGAAAUUGAAAACAUGAUUCAAGAUAAAUCAAUCAUAGUACAGAACAUUGACAGUGAGGAAAGCUCUAGCCAUGUUGAUAUGCAAACCAGUGGCUAAGAUGUCAGGCUGAGCAAUUGAGAAGUCACCCCUCUCCUUAGUAAAAAGGGGUUUGGUAGCUUGUUUUGUUUUAUUUUCUGUUCUCCAAAUUAUUUCAGGGUUGUAGUUCGGGAUCUAUAUUGUUUUGUCCUUUUGUUGUUUAUGUUCCAACCCUUCUAUCUUUUGUUUUGACUAAAUGAAGUGUCUUAUUUUCCUUUGUAUUUUAAAUAUGUGUUGUUUGUUUGUUUUCUUUACAUAGUACAUUUUGUGUUAACUCUAGUGAUAUGACAUGCUAGUGAAAUUUUCAGUCAGAUCUUAAAAUCCAUUUUAAGCAUGAACAUUGAAUCAGAGGAUUAAAGUUAGAAAAAAGAGAGCAUAUGAGAAAAUAGAUAGAGUGCUGAGACAUUUGGUGACAAGUUAAGGCAAUUAUUUUGAGAAUCACAAGAAUAACUUGGUCAUCAAUUGAAAAACAAAGCUUAAUUAGGUCAAAUAGCUGAUGUGUUCUCCUGAGGAACAAAACAAAAAUCAACUCCACGAAAGUAUGAGUCAUUCGAUGUGAGAAAUGUACAACAAAGGUGGAGUUGUAUAUUCAACAAGGGUAAAAGAAGAGGUGACACAUAUGCUCGGGGCAAGUUAGUAUUGUAAAACAUGUCAUAAGUGAUAUUGAUUGUGUACUUUCACAUUGUAUGCUAUGUACUAGCACCUUCAAGGAUUGAUAUGAUGAAAGCAUUUCAUUCUGCUAUCCAUAUAUUGUGUCAUCCUUUGUGUACCCCAUUUGAGCCUUAGUUUUAUUUUCUUUCAUACCCCUCUUUUGGAAUCAAGAUACAUUCAAUAAAGCUCAAAAGAAAAAGUGUCAGGUAAAAUAGAGUCAGAAAAAAAUGUGUCAAAAAGAAAGAAAUAAAAAGUGUCAGGUAAAAUAGAGUCAAAAAAAUCAGAAUCAAGCAAAAGAACAAGCUGCCAGAACUACGCGUGACCUGAUUCUCCUCUCUCAGGGGUGAGAUACGUAGGCUGCCCUACUAAGGGCUCGGUCUAACCAAAUAAACAAUUUAGAAUCACCCAGUCAAAAGAAACUAGGGCAUGAGUUAAUCCUCAUUGUUUGAGUCGAUUCCAAAAGCUGUAAGUCCUAACCCACUUCAAGCAAGUGUCGGUUGGGCCUCAUGCCAUCCGUUCUUUCUAACCCUAUCAAAUAGCCAAGUUACAACCAAAGAAAGACCUUCAGAUCAAUCUUUGGGGAUGUUAAGGCAAAGCAUGCAAGGGAUAUGAUGAUGUAUUUGGGAACUACCUGUCUUCCUCAGCACAAGGAAUCAAGAGAGAAAUAAAAAUGAGAGAGUCUUAUUGGUNNNNNNNNNNNNNNNNNNNNNNNNNNNNNNNNNNNNNNNNNNNNNNNNNNNNNNNNNNNNNNNNNNNNNNNNNNNNNNNNNNNNNNNNNNNNNNNNNNNNNNNNNNNNNNNNNNNNNNNNNNNNNNNNNNNNNNNNNNNNNNNNNNNNNNNNNNNNNNNNNNNNNNNNNNNNNNNNNNNNNNNNNNNNNNNNNNNNNNNNNNNNNNNNNNNNNNNNNNNNNNNNNNNNNNNNNNNNNNNNNNNNNNNNNNNNNNNNNNNNNNNNNNNNNNNNNNNNNNNNNNNNNNNNNNNNNNNNNNNNNNNNNNNNNNNNNNNNNNNNNNNNNNNNCCACUAGCCGAAUGAGGUCUCCGAAUGUAAUUGGCCCAAGGAAGCAACUCAGUUUCAAGGCCAUUAACCCAACAAUAACUAGUGGAAGGUGUGGAUGGAAAGAUCAGGCAGAUUAAUCCAAAAUGCAUGGCAUAAUCAUUAGAGUUGACAGUCAUUUUUUAUAUAAAUUUUUCAUUUCUUUGUUUCAAAUGGGGACAUUCAUUGUCUUUUAUUUUUUCUUUAUAUUUUUAUUUUUAUUUUUCUUGGGUCAGUUGUCCAAAUAAAAAUCACUGUCAUUUUUUUUCUUGUCUUUAAGUCAAGUUUAUGUCGAAACAAGUGAGAAAAGAUUUCAAAAUUGGCUACCAGCUUCUUCAAUUGCAGAAAGCAAGACAAAAGGCCAGCACAUGAAAGAGACAUGAUUGUGAGCCAAAAUAAGGCAUGCAGAAAGUUGUGUCAACAAAAAAUUCUGACAAUUCAUGAAAAUACCAAGGAUCAAAGAGUUUAUCUGAGAAGCAUGGCAAAGCAAAGAUACUGUGUUUAUUUUAGAAGAACUCUUAAUAAUCUGAGUUCGGAUCAAUGAUGCAGCAAGUCAAUGGCAUAUGCUAAUGGUCGAAAUCAAGAUUAAUGUGACAGGGGCAAGAGCGAUUUCCACAAAAGCCAAAGCCACAAACUAACCACCAUGUUUUUAAACUAACAAGUUUUCUUUGUAUGAAAUAGGAACACAUGCUACCUUCGAAUCAAGGAUUUCAAAGCCUAAAUAUCAAGGGCCGUAAUAUUCUCACUUCUACAAAUGCAAGAGGUAAUGUUGCUGCACAUAUUUGGUAUUCAAACUCAUGGUAAUUCAAGCGACAUUUGUAAGGAGACGCACUUCCUUAUUUUGGUAAUUCUAGCAACAUUUGUAAAGAGACGCACUUCCUUGUUUGGGUAAUUCCAGCAAUAUUUGUAAGGAAACACACUUCCUUAUUUGGUAAAUCCAGCAACAUUUAUGAGGAAACACACUUUCUUGUUUGGUAAUUCAAGCGGUAUUUGUAAGAAGACACACUUUCUUAUUUGGGUAAUUCCAGCAACUUUUGUAAGGAGACGCACUUCCUUGUUUGGGUAAUUCAAGCGGUAUUUGUAAGGAUACACACUUACUUGUUUGGUAAUUCAAUUGGAACUUGUAAGGAGAUGUACUUCCUUAUUCGGGUAAUUCCAGCAACAUUUGUAAGGAGACGCACUUCCUUGUUUGGCUAAUUCCAACAACAUUUAUAAAGGGACGCACUUUCUUGUUUUGAUAAUUCAAGCAACAUUUGUAAGGAGACACACUUUCUUAUUUUGGUAAUUCAAGCGUUAUCAUAAGGAGACUCACUUCCAAAGGAGACACACUUCCUUGUUUGGUAAUUCGAUCGGCAUUUGUAAGGAGACGCACUUCCUUGUUCAGGUAAUUCCAGCAAUAUUUGUAAGGAGACGCACUUCCUUGUUUGGUAAUUCAAGCAACAUUUGUAAGGAGACUCACUUCCUUGUUGAGUAAUUCAAGCAACAUUUGUAAGGAGACGCACUUCCUUGUUGGGUAAUUCAAGUGACAUUUAUAAGGAGAUGCACUUCCUUGUUUGGGUAAUUCAAGCGGCAUUUGUAAGGAGGCGCACUUCCUUGUUUAGUUAAUUCAAGAAACAUUUAUAAGGAGACGCACUUCCUUGCUUGGGGUAAUUCGAGCAACAUUUGUGAGGAGACGCACUUCCUGAUUUGGGCAAUUCGAGAAACAUUUGUAAGGAGACACGCUUUCUUAUUUUGGUAAUUCAAACGCUAUCAUGAAAAGACGUACUUCCAAAGGAGACACACUUUCUUGUUUUGGUAAUUCAAGCGGCAUUGGUAAGGAGACACACUUCCUUGUUUGGUAAUUCAAGCGGUAUUUUUAAGGAGACGCACUUCCUUGUUUGGGUAAUUCAAGCGGCAUUUGAUAAGGAGACGCACUUCCUUGUUUGGGGUAAUUCAAGCAACAUUUGGAAGGAGACGGACUUCCUGGUUCGGGAAAUUCAAGAAACAUUUGUAAGGAGACGUACUUCCUUGUUUGAGUAAUUCAAGAGACAUUUGUGAGGUGAUGCACUUCCUUAUUUGAGUAAUUCAAGUGAUAUUUGUAAGGAGAUGCACUUCCUUGUUUGAGUAAUUCAAGCGACAUUGGUAAGGAGAUGCUCUUCCUUGAUUGGGUAUUUCGAAUUUUGAUUUUUAGGUGAUGCACUUCCUUGUUUUGAUAAUUUAAGCAACAUUGGUAAGGAGAUUCACUUCCUUGAUUGGAUAUUUCGAAUUUUGAUUUUUAGGUGAUGCACUUCCUAACUUGAGUUUUGAUUUCUAGAAAAUGCACUUUCUAGUCGAGUUAUCGCACUUAGCCCUAAGGAGACACACUUCCUUGCUAGUUUUAAUUUGUCAGGUGGCACACUUUUUAGCUUAAACUUGUAUCUCUAGAAGACGCACUUUCUAGUUAGAAUCCCUCACUUUAAUUCUAAGGAAAUGCACUUCCUAGUCUUGGUUAUUUAAUUUUACUCUUAAGAGAUGAAUUUCUUAGUCAAAGUCUUGAUUCAUCAUUACAACAUGCAAGUAGGUAUGAUGUGACUUUUCCAAAACUCUUCUGAUGAUAAACUGGGGCAAAAAUUCAAUUUCUCUUUUUGAAACUUUACUUUUCUGGCAAAUAAAACCUCUUUAUAAUAAUAUUUGUUUGGGAUAAUUUUCUUUUUAGUUUUGAUGUGAUUUCAGGAGCCUACCCGAAGCACAGGGCGAAUAAAUGGAAAACCAAGCAACAAGGUGAAGAAAUUGAAAGUUAAACAGAUUGAAAAAUAGCAAGUCAGGAGCUCGCCUGUAGAAAAGGGUGAAGAAGUUGAAAGCAUGGCAACAAGUUGAUGAAAUAGCAAGUUAGUAAUCCGCCUGGAGAAUAGGGUGAAGAAAUGAAAAGUCAAGCAACAAAGUGAAGAAGUUGAAAGUCAAGCAACAAGGUGAAGAAGUUGAAAACAAAGCAACAACGUAAAAAGUUGAAAGUUAGUAGAUUGAAAAAUAUCGUCAGGAGCCCGCCUGAAGAAUAGGGUGAGGAAAUUGAAAUUUAAGCAACGAGGUGAAACAAUUGAAAGCCAAACAACAAGUUGAUGAAAUUGAAAGUCAGGAGCCCGCCUGAAGAAUAGGGUAAUGAAACUCAAGUCAAAAGUCAAAGGGGGAAUGAUGUAGACACCUAAUUUUGUCCUUCCCGAAGUCUAAUUUUAUUCAUUUUUAGUUCACCUUACCAUGUGUCCAACCCCAUGUAAUUAUAUCCCACAAAAAUAUAAAAAUAAAUAAAAAACAAUACCUCUAACAAAUUUUAUCCUAUCCUAACCCCCUUUACACCUAACCCCGACCCCUCCAAUUAAAAACUUACACCUCCCCUACUACCCCACCCCUCUCACGUGACCCUCACCCUUUCCUUUUCUUGUCCACAAGCAUAUUCCCUUAACAGAAUUGAGAAAUGAACUUUCAAGGAAACUUUCAUAUGCACACCUCACUCAUGGACCCCACUAUUUUUUCUUUUGUUUUCAUUUUUAUCAUGCACACACAGCAACUUGGGAGGGACCCACGGAGGGAGGAUUCCCAAUUCCCAUUCAAUUUAGAGGGACCCAUAGAAGAAAAAGGGCUGGGAUUUUCUGAAAUUCAAUAUAUACAAAGACUGCCAAUUGAUAGAGGGGGGGAUUUCAGAAAAGGUCAUCUUCUCGACCAAACAUAGACCGGACGCGAUUUUUUUUCUUUCCCCUGGGGGCUCUUGAUCUUACCAUCAUUUUCAUCGAGCAAAGGGGAGGAUAAACUCAUUGUUUUGAUCAAAAACAAGAGGGGACGCCAUUUUUUGGCCCUUCCUUUCUUCUAGUUCGCGACACACAUAUACCCACACACCCAAAAUCACAUACCCGCAUAGAAACAGAGAGGGAGAGAGACGGGAAGGACGAGAGAUACACCGAAAGAGAAGAAGUCGACUGUAGAUCGAGUUUUUCGGCCACUCUUCACCAAAAAACACUUCCCUAGCUCCAAUUUGACUUCGAAAUCCAUCAAUAACUCGAUCUAAACCAUCUCCAUUGCUGAAAACCAAGGUCGAGUAGUUUAAACCAAUCUGAAAUCAUCCUGUUUUGGGUUGAUUCCGGCCAUUUUGAGUUCGAUUUCGUCAUGUGCAAGGUCAAUUUUGGUCUGUUCGGUUUAAUUCUGGUCAGUUCGGUUUAGUUUCAGCUCGUUGGGGGUUUGUGUUGAAUACUCUCAAGUCGUUUUCAUGGAUUUUGGUAUUUGAAUCGGAAUGCGAAUUCGGGUUUGUACUGAAUUGGUUCGUCGUUGAGGUUCUCUAUUCGGGAUUCCAAGUCCGGGUUCUCUUAAACAUUAUUAUUAUCAAUAAAUAUGUUCUUUGAAGGUCCAUCUCUUGACUCUACUCUUUUAUCUCAAAAUUGGUUAAUGUCAUAAUUUUGUGGUAUGGUUUUGAAUAUUUUGAGCAAAAUAUUAAUUGUUGGUGUGGAUGACUUGUAUGCCUAAGUUCGAAUCCUCGUUGGGUGUAUGUGGUUGAUGUUGGAUUAGAUAGUCGAAGAAUUAGUGAAUUAGUUUUGACAACGAAAUUGGGGAAGAUGG